RNAcentral lists this unclassified non-coding RNA (314 nucleotides) under plant metagenome. RNAcentral's name for it is "partial contains 5.8S ribosomal RNA, internal transcribed spacer 2, and large subunit ribosomal RNA". The stretch from base 1 to 104 matches the Rfam family "5.8S ribosomal RNA", at positions 51 to 154 of the family's 154-position model. The record is from RNAcentral.
AACUGCGAUAAGUAAUGUGCAUUGCAGAAUUCAGUGAAUCAUCGAGUCUUUGAACGCACAUUGCGCCCCCUGGCAUUCCGGGGGGCAUGCCUGUCCGAGCGUCAUUGCUGCCCUUCAAGCCCGGCUUGUGUGUUGGGUCGUCGUCCCCUCCGGGGGACGGGCCCGAAAGGCAGCGGCGGCACCGCGUCCGGUCCUCGAGCGUAUGGGGCUUUGUCACCCGCUCGAUAAGGACCGGCCGGGCGCCAGCCGGCGUCUCCAACCUUUUUUUCUCAGGUUGACCUCGGAUCAGGUAGGGAUACCCGCUGAACUUAAGC